GAUGAACGCUGGCGGCGUGCCUAAUACAUGCAAGUCGAGCGAACGGACGAGAAGCUUGCUUCUCUGAUGUUAGCGGCGGACGGGUGAGUAACACGUGGAUAACCUACCUAUAAGACUGGGAUAACUUCGGGAAACCGGAGCUAAUACCGGAUAAUAUUUUGAACCGCAUGGUUCAAAAGUGAAAGACGGUCUUGCUGUCACUUAUAGAUGGAUCCGCGCUGCAUUAGCUAGUUGGUAAGGUAACGGCUUACCAAGGCAACGAUGCAUAGCCGACCUGAGAGGGUGAUAGGCCACCCUGGAACUGAGACAGGGUCAAGAGUCCUACGGGAGGCAGCAGUAGGGAAUCUUACGCAAUGGGCGAAAGCCUGACGGAGCAACGCCGCGUGAGUGAUGAAGGUCUUCGGAUCGUAAAACUCUGUUAUUAGGGAAGAACAUAUGUGUAAGUAACUGUGCACAUCUUGACGGUACCUAAUCAGAAAGCCACGGCUAACUACGUG
RNAcentral lists this ribosomal RNA (497 nucleotides) under uncultured bacterium. RNAcentral describes it as "partial 16S ribosomal RNA". It matches the Rfam family "Bacterial small subunit ribosomal RNA", at positions 28 to 507 of the family's 1533-position model. The record is from RNAcentral.